GAUGAACGCUGGCGGCGUGCCUAAUACAUGCAAGUCGAGCGAACAGACGAGGAGCUUGCUCCUCUGACGUUAGCGGCGGACGGGUGACUAACACGUGGAUAACCUACCUAUAAGACUGGGAUAACUUCGGGAAACCGGAGCUAAUACCGGAUAAUAUAUUGAACCGCAUGGUUCAAUAGUGAAAGACGGUUUUGCUGUCACUUAUAGAUGGAUCCGCGCCGCAUUAGCUAGUUGGUAAGGUAACGGCUUACCAAGGCGACGAUGCGUAGCCGACCUGAGAGGGUGAUCGGCCACACUGGAACUGAGACACGGUCCAGACUCCUACGGGAGGCAGCAGUAGGGAAUCUUCCGCAAUGGGCGAAAGCCUGACGGAGCAACGCCGCGUGAGUGAUGAAGGUCUUCGGAUCGUAAAACUCUGUUAUUAGGGAAGAACAAAUGUGUAAGUAACUAUGCACGUCUUGACGGUACCUAAUCAGAAAGCCACGGCUAACUACGUG
RNAcentral lists this ribosomal RNA (497 nucleotides) under uncultured bacterium. RNAcentral describes it as "partial 16S ribosomal RNA". It matches the Rfam family "Bacterial small subunit ribosomal RNA", at positions 28 to 507 of the family's 1533-position model. The record is from RNAcentral.